UCAAUUAAUUACAUGUGUAUUAGCUUAGGGUUUAUUUUUAUUAGAAUCUCAUGUCAUAUAAUUCAUGAUGUUUGUGGGUAACAUCCCUGAAAACCCUCACGAGACAACACUCGUCCACUAGGGUAACCUAGGGGUUUAACGGCUUGUUGCACGUGCUAAGUGCAAUCGUGAUUCCUACGAAAGUGAGUACUUAUCUUAAUUUUAUGCAAUUAGUUCUAAUAAAACAUCAAAGGACCAACCAACACUUUUUGUACUCUCAUUUUAUCAGUUGCUUGUUAAUUGCUAGAGACUAGCAAUAAGCUAGUUGGGGGGUGUGAUGAGAGCACAAAAGUGCGAUGUACACAUUACUUAAAUUAGCAUUAUUGCUAACAAAUAAUGAUAACAGUGCUGCAUUAAUAUUUUAUUUUUGUUGGGUGCAGGUGAUCGUAAAUCAAAGUUAAAAUGCGCAUUGGGUCCAAAAGAUGCAUCACCGUAGGUGACCAGUCAACCGCAUGGUUCAACCCCAGUUGCACAUUAGAAGGAGUCUAAGUUCAGCAAGACAGUUCACUGCAAUUAAUUCCCAGCAUCUCGUGCAUCCCAGUUUCUUCUGCAUCUUAAGCCCAGGUGCCAACAUUCCAAUUCUUCCGUAUGCAAUCUC
RNAcentral lists this long non-coding RNA (637 nucleotides) under Phoenix dactylifera (date palm). Its description in RNAcentral is "long non-coding RNA (PDAC_LNC018380)". Lineage: Eukaryota; Viridiplantae; Streptophyta; Magnoliopsida; Arecales; Arecaceae. The record is from RNAcentral.